This 361-nucleotide transfer RNA is filed under the name uncultured Microcystis sp. Its description in RNAcentral is "partial 16S-23S ribosomal RNA intergenic spacer". The stretch from base 136 to 209 matches the Rfam family "tRNA". Lineage: Bacteria; Bacillati; Cyanobacteriota; Cyanophyceae; Chroococcales; Microcystaceae. The record is from RNAcentral.
AAAGGGAGACCUAAUUCAGGUAGGAGACGAAAAAAAAGUAGUCCCUACCAAGAAUCAAUCCCAAAAGGUCGGAGCGAGGCAAAAUUGGCUUUCAAACUAGGUUCUGGGUUCACACAAGACCUGAAUCAGGAACAAGGGCUAUUAGCUCAGGUGGUUAGAGCGCACCCCUGAUAAGGGUGAGGUCCCUGGUUCGAGUCCAGGAUGGCCCACCUGCACAGGUGGCAAAAACAAGAGAAGCGAGGAAUCAGCACCUUAUCCUAAUUUAUAUAUAGGAGAGAAUGCUGGCUCUGAGUAAAGAGUCCAGAGGAACCUUGAAAACUGCAUAGAGCUAGGUGAAAAAGCCAAAAAAGAAGACCGCAAG